GUUGUGAGGUUAAGCGACUAAGCGUACACGGUGGAUGCCCUGGCAGUCAGAGGCGAUGAAGGACGUGCUAAUCUGCGAUAAGCGUCGGUAAGGUGAUAUGAACCGUUAUAACCGGCGAUUUCCGAAUGGGGAAACCCAGUGUGUUUCGACACACUAUCAUUAACUGAAUCCAUAGGUUAAUGAGGCGAACCGGGGGAACUGAAACAUCUAAGUACCCCGAGGAAAAGAAAUCAACCGAGAUUCCCCCAGUAGCGGCGAGCGAACGGGGAGCAGCCCAGAGCCUGAAUCAGUGUGUGUGUUAGUGGAAGCGUCUGGAAAGGCGCGCGAUACAGGGUGACAGCCCCGUACACAAAAAUGCACAUGCUGUGAGCUCGAUGAGUAGGGCGGGACACGUGGUAUCCUGUCUGAAUAUGGGGGGACCAUCCUCCAAGGCUAAAUACUCCUGACUGACCGAUAGUGAACCAGUACCGUGAGGGAAAGGCGAAAAGAACCCCGGCGAGGGGAGUGAAAAAGAACCUGAAACCGUGUACGUACAAGCAGUGGGAGCACGCUUAGGCGUGUGACUGCGUACCUUUUGUAUAAUGGGUCAGCGACUUAUAUUCUGUAGCAAGGUUAACCGAAUAGGGGAGCCGAAGGGAAACCGAGUCUUAACUGGGCGUUAAGUUGCAGGGUAUAGACCCGAAACCCGGUGAUCUAGCCAUGGGCAGGUUGAAGGUUGGGUAACACUAACUGGAGGACCGAACCGACUAAUGUUGAAAAAUUAGCGGAUGACUUGUGGCUGGGGGUGAAAGGCCAAUCAAACCGGGAGAUAGCUGGUUCUCCCCGAAAGCUAUUUAGGUAGCGCCUCGUGAAUUCAUCUCCGGGGGUAGAGCACUGUUUCGGCAAGGGGGUCAUCCCGACUUACCAACCCGAUGCAAACUGCGAAUACCGGAGAAUGUUAUCACGGGAGACACACGGCGGGUGCUAACGUCCGUCGUGAAGAGGGAAACAACCCAGACCGCCAGCUAAGGUCCCAAAGUCAUGGUUAAGUGGGAAACGAUGUGGGAAGGCCCAGACAGCCAGGAUGUUGGCUUAGAAGCAGCCAUCAUUUAAAGAAAGCGUAAUAGCUCACUGGUCGAGUCGGCCUGCGCGGAAGAUGUAACGGGGCUAAACCAUGCACCGAAGCUGCGGCAGCGACGCUUAUGCGUUGUUGGGUAGGGGAGCGUUCUGUAAGCCUGCGAAGGUGUGCUGUGAGGCAUGCUGGAGGUAUCAGAAGUGCGAAUGCUGACAUAAGUAACGAUAAAGCGGGUGAAAAGCCCGCUCGCCGGAAGACCAAGGGUUCCUGUCCAACGUUAAUCGGGGCAGGGUGAGUCGACCCCUAAGGCGAGGCCGAAAGGCGUAGUCGAUGGGAAACAGGUUAAUAUUCCUGUACUUGGUGUUACUGCGAAGGGGGGACGGAGAAGGCUAUGUUGGCCGGGCGACGGUUGUCCCGGUUUAAGCGUGUAGGCUGGUUUUCCAGGCAAAUCCGGAAAAUCAAGGCUGAGGCGUGAUGACGAGGCACUACGGUGCUGAAGCAACAAAUGCCCUGCUUCCAGGAAAAGCCUCUAAGCAUCAGGUAACAUCAAAUCGUACCCCAAACCGACACAGGUGGUCAGGUAGAGAAUACCAAGGCGCUUGAGAGAACUCGGGUGAAGGAACUAGGCAAAAUGGUGCCGUAACUUCGGGAGAAGGCACGCUGAUAUGUAGGUGAAGCGACUUGCUCGUGGAGCUGAAAUCAGUCGAAGAUACCAGCUGGCUGCAACUGUUUAUUAAAAACACAGCACUGUGCAAACACGAAAGUGGACGUAUACGGUGUGACGCCUGCCCGGUGCCGGAAGGUUAAUUGAUGGGGUUAGCGCAAGCGAAGCUCUUGAUCGAAGCCCCGGUAAACGGCGGCCGUAACUAUAACGGUCCUAAGGUAGCGAAAUUCCUUGUCGGGUAAGUUCCGACCUGCACGAAUGGCGUAAUGAUGGCCAGGCUGUCUCCACCCGAGACUCAGUGAAAUUGAACUCGCUGUGAAGAUGCAGUGUACCCGCGGCAAGACGGAAAGACCCCGUGAACCUUUACUAUAGCUUGACACUGAACAUUGAGCCUUGAUGUGUAGGAUAGGUGGGAGGCUUUGAAGUGUGGACGCCAGUCUGCAUGGAGCCGACCUUGAAAUACCACCCUUUAAUGUUUGAUGUUCUAACGUUGACCCGUAAUCCGGGUUGCGGACAGUGUCUGGUGGGUAGUUUGACUGGGGCGGUCUCCUCCUAAAGAGUAACGGAGGAGCACGAAGGUUGGCUAAUCCUGGUCGGACAUCAGGAGGUUAGUGCAAUGGCAUAAGCCAGCUUGACUGCGAGCGUGACGGCGCGAGCAGGUGCGAAAGCAGGUCAUAGUGAUCCGGUGGUUCUGAAUGGAAGGGCCAUCGCUCAACGGAUAAAAGGUACUCCGGGGAUAACAGGCUGAUACCGCCCAAGAGUUCAUAUCGACGGCGGUGUUUGGCACCUCGAUGUCGGCUCAUCACAUCCUGGGGCUGAAGUAGGUCCCAAGGGUAUGGCUGUUCGCCAUUUAAAGUGGUACGCGAGCUGGGUUUAGAACGUCGUGAGACAGUUCGGUCCCUAUCUGCCGUGGGCGCUGGAGAACUGAGGGGGGCUGCUCCUAGUACGAGAGGACCGGAGUGGACGCAUCACUGGUGUUCGGGUUGUCAUGCCAAUGGCACUGCCCGGUAGCUAAAUGCGGAAGAGAUAAGUGCUGAAAGCAUCUAAGCACGAAACUUGCCCCGAGAUGAGUUCUCCCUGACUCCUUGAGAGUCCUGAAGGAACGUUGAAGACGACGACGUUGAUAGGCCGGGUGUGUAAGCGCAGCGAUGCGUUGAGCUAACCGGUACUAAUGAACCGUGAGGCUUAACCUUACAACGCCGAAGCUGUU
This 2928-nucleotide ribosomal RNA is filed under the name Escherichia coli. RNAcentral's name for it is "23S ribosomal RNA". It matches the Rfam family "Bacterial large subunit ribosomal RNA". RNAcentral also lists the same sequence under 1 other name. Lineage: Bacteria; Pseudomonadati; Pseudomonadota; Gammaproteobacteria; Enterobacterales; Enterobacteriaceae. The record is from RNAcentral.